GUCAUACAUUAAACUUUACUUUCAUGAAAUUCAUUAAGAUUUAAGAACAAACUAAUACCAAUUUAUGUUUUCACUACUACGUAUUAGGUUAUUCGAUUCACAUGCAUUGGACAAGCAACAUAAAUGAAAUGUUAGGAUUUUGUUUCACAAGUACUGUACAUUAGUGAAAUAUUACGUUAUUCUUCAUAAUGCAAGUGUUUUUUUAUCUUCAAAUUGUAUGUCUGUUAUUUAAUCGAAGAUUACCAACUCAUCUGGCAGUGAAUGAAGACGGCUCCUGGCGGAAAGGACUAAUAAGACAAUGUCGGACUACAUUCACCCCAACAAUGGCUAUCCGAGUAUUGUCGAGACAGAUAAUGUGCCAAGUAUUCUGCAAAACAGCCAGGAAGAGACUAUAGGAGGGCAACACGCAUCAGUCACGACAUACACAGAAUUUGAACGCCCUACAGAAUGGCAAGAUGUCACUGAUGAGGGUAACGAAAAUAGUGAACUUUCAAAUGGAAUAGUUGUGGAUGUAAACGGCAGGGAAUGUCAGCAGGAGAGUAGUCAAGAUGGAACAAGCGAAGCACUUGUUAUAAGUGGAUCGUUAACGGAGCAUCGGCGUGAAAGGACUGCUCAACGAAACAGUCGCAUUUAUGAGGAGAAUGGCCCGGUGGUUGGGCUUCCUGCACUAGCUACGGUUACGUCUAACGCCAAUGCGGGUCUUGCGAGAUAUGCAGACUACAGAAGACGCCUGAAGUCUUUCAAAGGCUAUGCGAAAAAGUGGCCACACCGGAAUCCUUCUGCGGAAGACAUGGCACGAUCAAACUUUAUUUUUAGAGGUUCUGAUCGUCAUCCCGAUGCGGUUCAGUGUUACUUAUGUGGAAAAACUUUCCAUACAAUACAAGAAACAGAUGUUCCGGACAAUCUCUGCGAGUGUAACUUGUAACUGAAUCGAGACAGGUGAAGCUGGAUUUGAAGUCGAACAAACUAAUACAAGCAACAACAAUUGAACAAAAUAGUUUGAAAUGAACUGUUAAAUGUAAAUACAAGAGGGUUUUGUGUUUAAAUAUUUAUUGAUUUGCUAAUAUCAUGUCAAUGAACUUUAAUUAUUCUGACUUUCAGUGUUAUUUAAAUUUGAUAAUUUGCUGAAAUGUUAUAUAUUUGAAGCACAUGAUAAUUUACAACAAAACUAGAGUGGAUUUCGUAUUCUAUGUACUGUGCAAUCUUUCUUCGAAUAAUAACAAAGUGAUAUCAUCUAAUAUCAUCAAGCUCAUUUUCAAUACCUGGGACCGUAUUAUCAAGUACGCUGGGGGACGAUCCUGUACCUAAGAUCUAUGUUUAACAGUGUAAACAAAUUAAAAAAUAACUAUAAAAUGCUAUUAUAUAUUUACAAAAGGUUCCAAGCGACGCAGUGUUUUAAAGGCCGGCUAUAAUGCAAACGUCGUUUUAAGAACCAAAAUUUAAAAAAAAAUGUUUAAAAUAAUCAUUUUUUAUUUUGGUUUGAGGUUUAAUAUUUAGCAAGCAUAAUUCAUAUAUCCGUUGCAACAUGUACAGCUGUAGUAAGGAGUUGAGCAAUUAUUACGAAAUAAUAUUUUAUCAGAUUUCCAUCAAAAAGCAUUAGCGUUUUCCCGGAAAUAUGCAAACUGAAUAUGUGUAUGUGUCAAAUUUAUCAGUACUACCGAAUUAACAAUGUCUUGAGGUUUUGUGGUGAUUGCAGCUAUUUUUAAAACAGAUAUUCGCAUUUUUGUAUCCACGUAAUGAAUUCCAUCUACUAUUUUCCAAUAUUUUUAUAUUUUAAUGUUUAAUAGCAUGUAGGCUGAUGUCAGUGACUUAGGGCUUAAUUCAGGAUAAAAGGGCAAUGUACUUUGUUUGGGUUGGAAGAAGUCUCAGGCAACAGCCAAUAUUGCUUAUAUAAAAUAAUAUCAGCUGAAAGACUUCAGGAAGUAAGGAUCUACAGAUAAAAAUCUCAUAUACACAUAUCACUUUUUUAUGAAAUGGUUUAUACUUCCAAAAUUUAAAGCAUAGUUUUGUCGUGUUGUUGCGAUUUUCUCUUACCCUUUGCCAUUAAAAGAGCGCUUACCCUAAAGCAGCUUUUCUGAAAUUCAUUUAUUCAUGUCAUAUUUUGCAUAUGUUUUAAAAUUCAAUUGAACAUAUAGGUUUUUGUCCUGUUUUUGCCUUUUUGUCCAUGUUGUGGAUAAUGCGUUUUUUUAUGAAUAUUGUUUUCAAAGACUUGUGUCAGUGGGAUCUUAAUUCGAGGUGCAUCAUUAUCAUAUAUAAAGACUUGACUUAAUCAAUUUAUUAUGAUGGUACGUUUUAUAUUGAUGAUGUUUUAGCACCAUAAGUCAAGAUACUCUCUUGGAUACAGAUUUUGACUUGCUUUUGAUAUAUUUCUUUUUAAAAAAGCAUUCUGUCUGUCAUCUCUGAAAAAAUAACAUAUAGUUUUCUUUCUGAUUUGCCCUUUGUCCAUGUUGUGGAUAAUGCGUUUUUUUAUGAAUAUUGUUUUCAAAGACUUGUGUCAGUGGGAUCUUAAUUUGAGAUGUAUCAUUAUCAUAUAUAAAGACUUGACUUAAUGAUGUGUGAGCACCAUAAGUCAAGAUCGCCGUUUCUCUUGGAUACAGAUUUUGAUCCAUGUUUUUUAGCAAAGCAUUCUGUCUGCAAUCUCUGAAAAAUUAGAUAUGACUUGUGUAUUGAUAUUUGUUGACAUGAUCAACAAAACAUACUUAUUAAAUUAAGUGUUUUAUUUUUUUAUUACUAUAUUAAUUUAUUUUUGUGAGUGUUCUGUUAAUGCUUUGUUUGAUUUUAGUAUCACAUUGCACAUGUGACAAUACACUUGCAUUGUAUUACAAAUAAAGCUUUAAUAUGUUUAAUGUUUAGGUAUGCACAUAUAGCCAGCUAAAUGUUAAGGGUGUGAUUUUGAAUGUGAUAUUUGCUUUAGAAAUAAUUGUUUAUAUGUAUCGAGCCCGUUCCAUGAAAACGUACCUUCUCGGUGAUAUUUUACACUGAUGGAAAAUUAUCUGAGGUACAGACACUGCCCCUAGGAAAGUUGAUGAAACGGCCCAUGCUGUUGAAAUGAAUUGAAUGUAUCAAAUCUGAUUUUGUUAUUAUCCAAUAGAAGAUUAUACAGUACAGUGAAUACCAAAUCCACUCUUUUGUUCGUGUUGUAAAAUAUCAUGUGCUACAGAUAUAUAACUUUCUAGCAAAAAACCUUGAACAUUUCAUUAUGUAAUGAGGUCUGUACAUCUUUUUUAUAUAAAAAAGAAUGUCUCGUA
This is an RNA transcript of Mya arenaria, 3248 nucleotides long. RefSeq lists it as uncharacterized. The transcript is spliced from 5 exons. NCBI's taxonomy places the organism in Eukaryota, Metazoa, Mollusca, Bivalvia, Myida, Myidae. The record is from RefSeq and is a predicted model, not a curated record.